UGAGUAACCUGCCCUCCACUCUGGGAUAAGCCCGGGAAACUGGGUCUAAUACCGGAUAUGACUCCUCAUCGCAUGGUGGGGGGUGAAAGCUUUAUUGUGGUUUGGAUGGACUCGCGGCCUAUCAGCUUGUUGGUGAGGUAAUGGCUCACCAAGGCGACGACGGGUAGCCGGCCUGAGAGGGUGACCGGCCACACUGGGACUGAGACACCGCCAGCCUCCGUACGGG
RNAcentral lists this ribosomal RNA (226 nucleotides) under uncultured bacterium. RNAcentral describes it as "partial 16S ribosomal RNA". It matches the Rfam family "Bacterial small subunit ribosomal RNA", at positions 118 to 345 of the family's 1533-position model. The record is from RNAcentral.